CCCGCUGAACUUAAGCAUAUCAAUAAGCGGAGGAAAAGAAACCAACAGGGAUUGCCUCAGUAACGGCGAGUGAAGCGGCAAGAGCUCAAAUUUGAAAUCUGGCCCUCUUGGGGGUCCGAGUUGUAAUUUGGAGAGGAUGCUUCGGGGGUGACUCCUAUCUAAGUGCCCUGGAAGGGGACGUCAUAGAGGGUGAGAAUCCCGUCUGGGAUGGGUGGCCACACCCGUGUGAAGCUCCUUCGACGAGUCGAGUUGUUUGGGAAUGCAGCUCUAAAUGGGUGGUAAAUUUCAUCUAAAGCUAAAUAUUGGCCGGAGACCGAUAGCGCACAAGUAGAGUGAUCGAAAGAUGAAAAGCACUUUGAAAAGAGAGUUAAACAGCACGUGAAAUUGUUGAAAGGGAAGCGCUUGCAACCAGACUCGCCCGGGGAGGUUCAAUCGGCACUUGUGCCGGUGCACUCCUCCCCGGGUGGGCCAGCGUCGGUUUGGGCGGUCGGUCAAAGGUCCCCGGAAUGUAUCACCCUCCGGGGUGUCUUAUAGCCGGGGACGCAAUGCGGCCAGCCCAGACCGAGGAACGCGCUUCGGCUCGGACGCUGGCGUAAUGGUUGUAAGCGGCCCGUCUUGAAACACGG
This 626-nucleotide ribosomal RNA is filed under the name uncultured fungus. Its description in RNAcentral is "eukaryotic LSU rRNA". It matches the Rfam family "Eukaryotic large subunit ribosomal RNA", at positions 24 to 664 of the family's 3401-position model. The record is from RNAcentral. Lineage: Eukaryota; Fungi.